This 450-nucleotide ribosomal RNA is filed under the name uncultured bacterium. Its description in RNAcentral is "bacterial SSU rRNA". It matches the Rfam family "Bacterial small subunit ribosomal RNA", at positions 354 to 796 of the family's 1533-position model. The record is from RNAcentral.
GUGGGGAAUAUUGGACAAUGGGCGAAAGCCUGAUCCAGCAAUGCCGCGUGUGUGAAGAAGGUCUUCGGAUUGUAAAGCACUUUAAGUUGGGAGGAAGGGCAGUAAGUUAAUACCUUGCUGUUUUGACGUUACCGACAGAAUAAGCACCGGCUAACUUCGUGCCAGCAGCCGCGGUAAUACGACGGGUGCAAGCGUUAAUCGGAAUUACUGGGCGUAAAGCGCGCGUAGGUGAUUUUGUAAGUUGGAGGUGAAAUCCCCGGGCUCAACCUGGGAAGUGCCUGCAAAACUGCAUGACUAGAGUACGGUAGAGGGUAGUGGAAUUUCCGGUGUAGCGGUGAAAUGCGUAGAUAUAGGAAGGAACACCAGUGGCGAAGGCGACUACCUGGACUGAUACUGACACUGAGGUGCGAAAGCGUGGGGAGCAAACAGGAUUAGAUACCCGGGUAGUCC